CGCCUCUUGAAUUUAUAUAAGAGGUCCAGCCUGCCCAGUGACCCUGUUCAACGGCCGCGGUAUCCUAACCGUGCGAAGGUAGCGUAAUCACUUGUUCUUUAAAUGAGGACUAGUAUGAACGGCAUCACGAAGGUUAUACUGUCUCCUUUUUCCAAUCAGUGAAUCUAAUCUCCCCGUGAAGAAGCGGGGAUAAAACUAUAAGACGAGAAGACCCUAUGGAGCUUAAAACAAUACAGCACUUGCUAAAAAAUUUAACAAUUCCAGAAUUUUUCAUUUUAUAAGCAACAUGACUGUAAGUUUUUGGUUGGGGUGACCACGGAGUAUAACACAACCUCCACGUUGAAAGAAUUUUAUUCUAAGCCAAAAAUUACAUUUUUAAGCAUCAAUAAAUUGACAUCUAUUGACCCAAUACUAUUGAACAACGAACCAAGUUACCCUAGGGAUAACAGCGCAAUCCACUUCAAGAGCUCCUAUCGACAAGUGGGUUUACGACCUCGAUGUUGGAUCAGGGUUUCCCAGUGGUGCAGCCGCUACUAAAGGUUCGUUUGUUCAACGAUUAAAACCCU
RNAcentral lists this ribosomal RNA (566 nucleotides) under Peltophryne taladai (Cuban spotted toad). Its description in RNAcentral is "partial 16S ribosomal RNA". It matches the Rfam family "Bacterial large subunit ribosomal RNA", at positions 1819 to 2597 of the family's 2925-position model. Lineage: Eukaryota; Metazoa; Chordata; Amphibia; Anura; Bufonidae. The record is from RNAcentral.